Molecule: unclassified non-coding RNA, 147 nt
Organism: Panthera pardus (leopard)
Lineage: Eukaryota; Metazoa; Chordata; Mammalia; Carnivora; Felidae
Source: Ensembl
CUUCAUUUUGCUGUGAACCUUAAAUGGCUCCCCAAGAUAAAUUCUAUUAUGUUUAAAAGGAAGAAGAGAGAAACCGGGCAUUCUCUCUGACAAAAGGUAAAUGGGUAUCAGGCUGAAUUCUCUUCCCAGGAAAAAGAAAGAAAUCAC